RNAcentral lists this ribosomal RNA (156 nucleotides) under Lacticaseibacillus casei. RNAcentral describes it as "Lactobacillus casei partial 16S ribosomal RNA". Lineage: Bacteria; Bacillati; Bacillota; Bacilli; Lactobacillales; Lactobacillaceae. The record is from RNAcentral.
GAGGGCCGUGUGGGAGAGAUACUACGUGUUACUCACCCGUCCGCCACUCGUUCCAUGUUGAAUCUCAGUGCAAGCACCGAUCAUCAACGAGAACUCGUUCGACUUGCAUGUAUUAGGCACGCCGCCAGCGUUCAUCCUGAGCCAGGAUCAAACUCU